CUGGGGGAUUGGGUGCCUUCU
Molecule: microRNA, 21 nt
Filed under: Mus musculus (house mouse)
Lineage: Eukaryota; Metazoa; Chordata; Mammalia; Rodentia; Muridae
Description: mmu-miR-7119-5p
Source: miRBase by way of RNAcentral